Saimiri boliviensis boliviensis (Bolivian squirrel monkey) is the source of this 2401-nucleotide long non-coding RNA. Lineage: Eukaryota; Metazoa; Chordata; Mammalia; Primates; Cebidae. The record is from Ensembl.
GGGCCCCAGUGAGCAGCAGAGCUGAGAACCACACACAGGCCAUUUCUGUGUACCGACACGAUGCAGAUCCACAUUUAAGCCACCCAGUUAGCCUAGACCCAGAGUCAUGUCCUUAGACAUCUAAAAUUCAGCAGCACCAGGUAUUUUAUUUGUCUAACUCAUAACCCGUAUUUAAUCAGCCAGCCUGUGUCUAGAUGGGCCACCACGUUUUCUUCCUCAGUCAGGUUGAGAGUUGCCUGGCACAGGAGCCUGCCUUGCCCACUGUGCCCAGACAGCGCCCGCCACGUAGCAGGUGCCAGUCUCAUGUUACUUGCAUUAAACAGAUGCUUGCAGCAGAAGGUAUAGUACUGAAGUAAUGCAUUUUUAUCUUAACUUUCAUUUACUUUCUUCCCUUAAAAUUGAUUCCAUUCUUGAUGUGACUUUCAGCUGUCAGCUGUCUGCACUCCCAGAUGAGGUGAUGGCCUGGCACCAACGGAGCAUUGCCCUGAUGAAUCAUGGUCAAGGGAACAAUUACCACCUUGAGGAAUGAGGCCCGAAAGCUGAGUCUCUGCUAUGGCAUCCGCCUUCUUCUCACGAAGACCUGCAGCUUGAAAGGAGGGCAGGGAGAAGGAGCCCAAAGCUCCAGGAAGACCAAGCCCAGCUGCUAUGAUGAUUCCAAGGAAAUUCAGGAAAUCCUUGCUAAUGGCCAAACUUCCCCGGUUUGAGAUGCAAAAGGAAAUCAGAUCCCCAGGUUUCGCCCGCCCCAGGCCACAUGACCAGUGCUGCUGUUUCCUGCAUAGCACACAUGGGGAACCCUGAAAGCAUGCUGCUAAAUGAAAGAAGCCAGGUACAAAAGGCAACAUACUAUAUGAUUUCAUAAGAAAUGGAUAUAACAGGAAAAUCUACAGAGACAGAAGAUAAAUUCGUAGUUGUUUAGGGGCUGGGAGAGUGGGGUGAGGCCUCUCUAUAGAGGUGGCAAUGCCCAGGAUUUCUUUGAAGAUGUUUAGAUAUCACAGUGUAAUUGGACAACAGUGAGGAAGUCUGGAGUUAUAGCUUCUAUAGCUCCAUGCAAUAGAAGGGAAGUAAAACCAGAUCCCAACCUGCCUCCAGUCACCUGAUUCAGCAAAGUCAAAGUCACAAAUCAAUAGGGACAGGAUGGUCUUUUCAGUAAAUGAUACUGUAUCAUUGACUCAUCAUAUAGAGAAAAAAUGAGCCCUGGUCCCGUGCACACAGAAGACAUAAAAGUUCCUUCAAAGUGGAUCUUAGAUCUACAUUCAAAAACAAAAGCAACACAGGGUCCGGGAGAAAGGGUCCAGGCAGGAGAAUAUUUAUAUGACCUUGGGCUAAGCAAGAGAUUCAUAAACAGGACAUAAAAACCACUAACCACCAAGAAAAAAUGACUGAUAAAUAUGACAAUUGAAGGAUUUAUGUUUCUCAAAAAUAAAAAGGGGAACCAUCGACUGGGAGAACAUAUUUCUGAUACUUAUAUCUAACCGAGAAUUUAUAUUCAGGUUAGAUGACUCAAAAACAAAAACGCAAGCAAUCCACUAAGAACAAAUUCUGAUCAGAAGACUUCACAGAAGAUCUACAGAUGGCCAGUGACCUCAGGAAAACACGGAUUAAAACAACAAGGAGACACACCCACAAGCUCCGUGACAGUUUUGAAAAUGAAAUGAAACCCUGAGGUUGGCAGAAUUCUAAGGUGGUGUCCCAGAUUCCCACCCUUGGUAUCUGUGCCCCACACUACCCACUUGAGUAGGGGAAGACCUGUGAAUAUGAUGGGUGUCUCCUCUGUGAUCAGGUUACAUCGUAUUUCAAGACGGAGGGAUUUGGUGAUUAAGGUCUCUAAUCAGUUUACCUUCAAGUUCAUCAAAAGUCAGAGUGGCGGAGGUUGGCCUGAGCUACUCAGGUGACCCCUUUAAAAGAGAGCUCAGGCCUGCCCUGAGCUUGGAGAGAUUUUCCAGCUAGAAUUGAAGAAGCAAGCAGCUGUGAGUUCAGCUUCACAGGAACGAAUUUGGCCAACAGUCAUGUGAGCUCCAUUAGAAAUGUACCCCAAGCCCCCUCAACCUCUCCCAUCCCCAACAGCACCAAUCUACUGAUUAUCUAUACAUGAUAGCGGGGCAGGAACAAGACUCUGGGCCCCGUGAGGACAGACUUGUCUGUCAGUGCAUUUAACUAUCUGUCCCAGAACCUUGCACAGAGCCUGGCACAUAUCAAGAACACAGCACAUUUUAAUUGAGACAGGCUCUUUAAAGCUGGAAUCUAAAACCAAUAGCCCCUAAAUUCAGCAAAAAAAAGUUAAUGUAACACCUGUGCUUUAUUACCUGUUUCUACAGAUAGAAGGGUUGGUUGUAUGUGGCUAUCACAAGUGAAAUGCAGAAUUAGUUAAUAAAAUUUUCAUCUGAAUUUAAAGAAAAAUCCU